AAAUAGGCCUUUUUCAAAUUGGACUCAACUUUGGGCUCGGUAGGGACACGCCCGUGUGACACGCCCGUGUGACACGCCCGUGUACGAGUACUUCAGGCAAUGGUCGAGGCUGUUAGAUUGGCACGGGCGUGUGUGAUACUCGUGUGAGGAAGUCUAGGCCGUGUUAUUUUCCCUUAUCGGCCCAUUUUCUUCGUUUUUGGCUCGUUUCUCAUUCUUUUCGUCCUCCUAUGCUCACCUAAGUAUAAAACAUGAAAUUAAAGGAUUAGGAGCAUCAAAUUCACCAAAUCUAGGUCGAAAUCAUUCAUAAAUGUGUUAAGCGA
RNAcentral lists this long non-coding RNA (320 nucleotides) under Gossypium barbadense (sea-island cotton). RNAcentral's name for it is "long non-coding RNA (GBAR_LNC005060)". The record is from RNAcentral. Lineage: Eukaryota; Viridiplantae; Streptophyta; Magnoliopsida; Malvales; Malvaceae.